GAUGAACGCUGGCGGCGUGCUUAACACAUGCAAGUCGAGCGAAGCACUUAUGACGAUCCUUCGGGUGAAUCAUUUGUGACUGAGCGGCGGACGGGUGAGUAACGCGUGAGUAACCUGCCUCAUACAGGGGAAUAACAGUUAGAAAUGACUGCUAAUGCCGCAUAAGCGCACAGGGCCGCAUGGCCCGGUGUGAAAAACUCCGGUGGUAUGAGAUGGACUCGCGUCUGAUUAGCUAGUUGGCAGGGUAACGGCCUACCAAGGCGACGAUCAGUAGCCGGCCUGAGAGGGUGAACGGCCACAUUGGGACUGAGACACGGCCCAAACUCCUACGGGAGGCAGCAGUGGGGAAUAUUGCACAAUGGGGGAAACCCUGAUGCAGCGACGCCGCGUGAGUGAAGAAGUAUUUCGGUAUGUAAAGCUCUAUCAGCAGGGAAGAAAAUGACGGUACCUGACUAAGAAGCCCCGGCUAACUACGUGCCAGCAGCCGCGGUAAUACGUAGGGGGCAAGCGUUAUCCGGAUUUACUGGGUGUAAAGGGAGCGUAGACGGCUUUGCAAGUCUGACGUGAAACUCCGGGGCUCAACUCCGGAACUGCGUUGGAAACUGUAAGGCUUGAGUGCCGGAGAGGUAAGCGGAAUUCCUAGUGUAGCGGUGAAAUGCGUAGAUAUUAGGAGGAACACCAGUGGCGAAGGCGGCUUACUGGACGGCAACUGACGUUGAGGCUCGAAAGCGUGGGGAGCAAACAGGAUUAGAUACCCUGGUAGUCCACGCGGUAAA
Molecule: ribosomal RNA, 776 nt
Filed under: uncultured bacterium
Lineage: Bacteria
Description: bacterial SSU rRNA
Rfam family: Bacterial small subunit ribosomal RNA
Source: RNAcentral